This 331-nucleotide ribosomal RNA is filed under the name uncultured bacterium. RNAcentral describes it as "bacterial SSU rRNA". It matches the Rfam family "Bacterial small subunit ribosomal RNA", at positions 568 to 898 of the family's 1533-position model. The record is from RNAcentral.
UGUGUAGGCGGUUGUCUAAGUUUGGUGUGAAAUCUCCCGGCUCAACUGGGAGGGUGCGCCGAAUACUGAAUGACUUCGAGUACGGGAGAGGAAAGUGGAAUUCCUGGUGUAGCGGUGAAAUGCGUAGAUAUCAGGAGGAACACCGGUGGUGUAGACGGCUUUCUGGACCGUAACUGACGCUGAGACACGAAAGCGUGGGUAGCAAACAGGAUUAGAUACCCUGGUAGUCCACGCCCUAAACGAUGCAUAUUUGGUGUGGGCAGUUCAUUCUGUCUGUGCCGGAGCUAACGCGUUAAAUAUGCCGCCUGGGGAGUACAGUCGCAAGGCUGAA